UGAAUACGAGAUGCUACGGCGUCGAAGCAGUGUAUGUCAGACUUCCAAGAAAAGCUCGCAAUGUCAUAAAUAAAGAAUGCCUGUACCAUAACCGACACAGGUGGGUAGGUAGAGUAUACUAAGGGGCGCGAGAUAACUCUCUCUAAGGAACUCGGCAAAAUAACUCCGUAACUUCGGGAGAAGGAGUGCCUUCUUUAAGAAGGUUGCAAUAACAAGAUCCAAGCAACUGUUUAUCAAAGACACAGGUCUCCGCUAAGUCGUAAGACGAUGUAUGGGGGCUGACGCCUGCCCAGUGCCAGAAGGUUAAAGAAGUUGGUUAGCUUUUGCGAAGCUGAUGACUGAAGCCCUGGUGAACGGCGGCCGUAACGAUAACGGUCCUAAGGUAGCGAAAUUCCUUGUCGGGUAAGUUCCGACCCGCACGAAAGGCGUAAUGAUAUGGAUACUGUCUCGGAGAGGGACUCGGUGAAAUAGACUUGUCUGUGAAGAUGCGGACUACCUGCACCAGGACAGAAAGACCCUAUGAAGCUUUACUGUAACUUGAAAUUGAAAUUGGACUUUAUUUGCGCAGUAUAGGUGGAAGGCGUUGAAAGUAAUCUUGCGGGAUUAGUGGAGCCAUCAGUGAGAUACCACUCCUAUAAUGUUAGAUUUCUAACCUUGGAUCAUGAUCUGGUCAAAGAACAGUUUCAGGCGGGCAGUUUGACUGGGGCGGUCGCCUCCCAAAUGGUAACGGAGGCGUACAAAGGUUUCCUCUGAACGGGUAGAAAUCGUAUCUAGAGUGUAAAGGCAUAAGGAAGCUUGACUGUGAGACCUACAAGUCGAGCAGGGACGAAAGUCGGUCUUAGUGAUCUGACGGUGCUGAGUGGAAAGGCCGUCACUCAACGGAUAAAAGUUACUCUAAGGAUAACAGGCUGAUCUCCCCCAAGAGUUCACAUCGACGGGGAGGUUUGGCACCUCGAUGUCGGCUCAUCGCAUCCUGGGGCGGUAGUACGUCCCAAGGGUUGGGCUGUUCGCCCAUGAAAGCGGUACGCGAGCUGGGCUCAGAACGUCGUGAGACAGUUCGGUCCAUAUCCGGUGUAGGCGUUAGAAUAUUGAGAGGAGCCUUCUUUAGUACGAGAGGACCGAGAAGGACAUACCUCUGGUGUACCAGUUAUCGUGCCAACGGUAAACGCUGGGUAGCUAUGUAUGGAGAGGAUAACCGCUGAAAGCAUCUAAGUGGGAAGCCCACCUCAAGAUGAG
This 1236-nucleotide ribosomal RNA is filed under the name metagenome. Its description in RNAcentral is "bacterial LSU rRNA". It matches the Rfam family "Bacterial large subunit ribosomal RNA", at positions 1564 to 2808 of the family's 2925-position model. The record is from RNAcentral.